Molecule: ribosomal RNA, 468 nt
Filed under: uncultured bacterium
Lineage: Bacteria
Description: partial 16S ribosomal RNA
Rfam family: Bacterial small subunit ribosomal RNA
Source: RNAcentral
GACGAACGCUGGCGGCGUGCUUAACACAUGCAGGUCGAACGGUGAAGCUCCAGCUUGCUGGAGUGGAUCAGUGGCGAACGGGUGAGUAACACGUGAGCAACCUGCCCCAGACUCUGGAAUAAGCGCUGGAAACGGCGUCUAAUACUGGAUACGAGAUCAAGCCGCAUGGUUAUGGUCUGGAAAGUUUUUCGGUUUGGGAUGGGCUCGCGGCCUAUCAGCUUGUUGGUGAGGUAAGGGCUGACCAAGGCGACGACGGGUAGCCGGCCUGAGAGGGCGACCGGCCACACUGGGACUGAGACACGGCCCAGACUCCUACGGGAGGCAGCAGUGGGGAAUAUUGCACAAUGGGCGAAAGCCUGAUGCAGCGACGCCGCGUGAGGGAUGACGGCCUUCGGGUUGUAAACCUCUUUCAGCAGGGAAGAAGCGAAAGUGACGGUACCUGCAGAAGAAGCACCGGCUAACUACGUG